This 229-nucleotide ribosomal RNA is filed under the name Klebsiella pneumoniae. RNAcentral describes it as "partial 23S ribosomal RNA". It matches the Rfam family "Bacterial large subunit ribosomal RNA", at positions 2714 to 2925 of the family's 2925-position model. Lineage: Bacteria; Pseudomonadati; Pseudomonadota; Gammaproteobacteria; Enterobacterales; Enterobacteriaceae. The record is from RNAcentral.
GUUCGGGUUGUCAUGCCAAUGGCACUGCCCGGUAGCUAAAUGCGGAAGAGAUAAGUGCUGAAAGCAUCUAAGCACGAAACUUGCCCCGAGAUGAGUUCUCCCUGAGACUUUAAGUCUCCUGAAGGAACGUUGAAGACGACGACGUUGAUAGGCCGGGUGUGUAAGCGCAGCGAUGCGUUGAGCUAACCGGUACUAAUGAACCGUGAGGCUUAACCUUACAACGCCGAAG